RNAcentral lists this ribosomal RNA (253 nucleotides) under uncultured bacterium. RNAcentral's name for it is "partial 16S ribosomal RNA". It matches the Rfam family "Bacterial small subunit ribosomal RNA", at positions 524 to 776 of the family's 1533-position model. The record is from RNAcentral.
UACGAAGGGUGCUAGCGUUGUUCAGAAUUACUGGGCGUAAAGCGCGCGUAGGCGGCUAUUCAAGUCAGGGGUGAAAUCCUUGGGCUCAACCCAAGAAUUGCCUUUGAAACUGUAUAGCUGGAGUGUCGGAGGGGAUAGCGGAAUUCCUAAUGUAGAGGUGAAAUUCGUAGAUAUUAGGAGGAACACCGGUGGCGAAGGCGGCUAUCUGGACGACAACUGACGCUGAGGCGCGAAAGCACGGGGAUCAAACAGG